AUGACAUCAACUGAGGAGUAGAACAAUGUCACAAUAGCAGCGACACAAUUGCAUUUGUCAGGCUUAGCACUCACCCACAGCAUUGUGGAAACCCCAGCUUAUGCUCAAAUUCCUUCUGACUCAUCCAGGAAUUCCCCAGGGAAUGUUCACGUGGUCCUAACAAGAUUCAGAUGAAUGCUGGGAAAUGCAGAGGAUGCAGGGGAAUACAGAGGAAGGCUGGGAAACAGUCAUGUGGUCUUAACAAGAUGCAGAGACCCAGGCUAAGGACAAUAAGAGCACCUGAGAAUUCUGUGAGAUUCAGAGAAGGUAAGCAAAUUGCCCAGGCCAACGCAACCAGUAAAUUGCCAAAUAGGAUUCAGCCCAAGUGUGUCUGACCACAUGGACUGUGCCUUACGUGAUCAAUAUUUGAUGACAGUGUUUCCCC
This is a long non-coding RNA of Neofelis nebulosa (Clouded leopard), 424 nucleotides long. RefSeq lists it as uncharacterized. NCBI's taxonomy places the organism in Eukaryota, Metazoa, Chordata, Mammalia, Carnivora, Felidae. The record is from RefSeq and is a predicted model, not a curated record. The transcript has 3 exons.